This 513-nucleotide ribosomal RNA is filed under the name uncultured bacterium. Its description in RNAcentral is "partial 16S ribosomal RNA". It matches the Rfam family "Bacterial small subunit ribosomal RNA", at positions 28 to 523 of the family's 1533-position model. The record is from RNAcentral.
GACGAACGCUGGCGGCAUGCCUGAUACAUGCAAGUCGAGCGAACAGAUGAAGUGCUUGCACUUCUGACGUUAGCGGCGAACGGGUGAGUAACACGUAAGGAAUCUACCUAUAAGCGGGGGAUAACAUUCGGAAACGGGUGCUAAUACCGCAUAAUAUCUUCUUCCGCAUGGAAGAAGAUUGAAAGACGGCUCUGCUGUCACUUAUAGAUGACCUUGCGGUGCAUUAGUUAGUUGGUGGGGUAAUGGCCUACCAAGACGAUGAUGCAUAGCCGACCUGAGAGGGUGAUCGGCCACAUUGGGACUGGGACACGGCCCAAAAUCCUACGGGAGGCAGUAGUAGGGAAUCUUCCGCAAUGGGCGAAAGCCUGACGGAGCAAUGCCGCGUGAGUGAAGAAGGCCUUCGGGUCGUAAAACUCUGUUAUAAGAGAAGAACAAAUUGUAGAGUAACUGCUACAGUCUUGACGGUAUCUUAUCAGAAAGCCACGGCUAACUACGUGCCAGCCGCCGCAGUAA